GAAAUGCGAUAAGUAGUGUGAAUUGCAGAAUUCAGUGAAUCAUCGAAUCUUUGAACGCACAUUGCGCCCUUUGGUAUUCCUUAGGGCAUGCCUGUUCGAGCGUCAUCUAAACCUUCAAGCCCUGCUUGGUGUUGGGUGCCUGUCCCGCCUCCGCGCGCGGACUCACCUCAAAUCCAUUGGCGGCCCCCGCGUCGGCCACGAGCGCAGCAGAAACGCGAACUCGUGAGCCCGUCCGGGCGGCUCCCAGAAGCUACACCCACCCAGUUUGACCUCGGAUCAGGUAGGACUACCCGCUGAACUUAAGC
Molecule: unclassified non-coding RNA, 305 nt
Filed under: plant metagenome
Description: partial contains 5.8S ribosomal RNA, internal transcribed spacer 2, and large subunit ribosomal RNA
Rfam family: 5.8S ribosomal RNA (bases 1-105)
Source: RNAcentral